AUGUGUUUUUUAUUGAACAAAUUUCUUUGGUGGCGGGAGCAAUCCUACCGCCAGAGGUUAUAACUAAACCAAACUUUUUAUUUACAGUCAAACUUGAUUUAUUAUUACAAUAGUCAAAACUUUCAACAACGGAUCUCUUGGUUCUCGCAUCGAUGAAGAACGCAGCGAAAUGCGAUACGUAAUAUGAAUUGCAGAUAUUCGUGAAUCAUCGAAUCUUUGAACGCACAUUGCGCCCUUUGGUAUUCCAAAGGGCAUGCCUGUUUGAGCGUCAUUUCUCCCUCAAACCCCCGGGUUUGGUGUUGAGCAAUACGCUAGGUUUGUUUGAAAGAAUUUAACGUGGAAACUUAUUUUAAGCGACUUAGGUUUAUCCAAAAACG
This 377-nucleotide unclassified non-coding RNA is filed under the name Candida sp. 3 CS-2017. RNAcentral's name for it is "sequence contains ITS1". The stretch from base 118 to 271 matches the Rfam family "5.8S ribosomal RNA". Lineage: Eukaryota; Fungi; Ascomycota; Pichiomycetes; Serinales; Debaryomycetaceae. The record is from RNAcentral.